UACGGGGGGAGCAAGCGUUGUUCGGAUUUACUGGGCGUAAAGGGCGCGUAGGCGGUCUCGACAAGUCACUUGUGAAAUCUCUGGGCUUAACUCAGAACGGUCAAGUGAUACUGCCAGACUAGAGUGCAGAAGGGGCAACUGGAAUUCUCGGUGUAGCGGUGAAAUGCGUAGAUAUCGAGAGGAACACCUGCGGCGAAGGCGGGUUGCUGGGCUGACACUGACGCUGAGGCGCGAAAGCUAGGGGAGCGAACGGG
RNAcentral lists this ribosomal RNA (254 nucleotides) under uncultured bacterium. RNAcentral describes it as "partial 16S ribosomal RNA". It matches the Rfam family "Bacterial small subunit ribosomal RNA", at positions 524 to 776 of the family's 1533-position model. The record is from RNAcentral.